UGGACAGAUUAUUGUAUUCGACUGUAUUCAAGGCGUGAAACAGGGGAUUACACUGUUUUUAAACAGAAAGUGAAUAAAUUAUCAUAAUAAACUCCU
This 96-nucleotide microRNA precursor is filed under the name Nicotiana sylvestris (wood tobacco). Its description in RNAcentral is "MIR6152 microRNA precursor family". It matches the Rfam family "MIR6152 microRNA precursor family". Lineage: Eukaryota; Viridiplantae; Streptophyta; Magnoliopsida; Solanales; Solanaceae. The record is from Rfam by way of RNAcentral.